UAAAGAAAGCGUAAUAGCUCACUGGUCGAGUCGGCCUGCGCGGAAGAUGUAACGGGGCUAAACCAUGCACCGAAGCUGCGGCAGCGACACUAUGUGUUGUUGGGUAGGGGAGCGUUCUGUAAGCCUGUGAAGGUGACCUGUGAGGGUUGCUGGAGGUAUCAGAAGUGCGAAUGCUGACAUAAGUAACGAUAAAGCGGGUGAAAAGCCCGCUCGCCGGAAGACCAAGGGUUCCUGUCCAACGUUAAUCGGGGCAGG
Molecule: ribosomal RNA, 255 nt
Filed under: Klebsiella pneumoniae
Lineage: Bacteria; Pseudomonadati; Pseudomonadota; Gammaproteobacteria; Enterobacterales; Enterobacteriaceae
Description: partial 23S ribosomal RNA
Rfam family: Bacterial large subunit ribosomal RNA
Source: RNAcentral